CGCCUCUUGUACCUAUAUAAGAGGUCCAGCCUGCCCAGUGACUAAGUUCAACGGCCGCGGUAUCCUAACCGUGCGAAGGUAGCGUAAUCACUUGUUCUUUAAAUGAGGACUAGUAUGAAUGGCACCACGAGGGUUAUGCUGUCUCCUUUUUCUAAUCAAUGAAACUGAUCUCCCCGUGAAGAAGCGGGGAUGUAAUUAUAAGACGAGAAGACCCUAUGGAGCUUUAAACCAUGUAACACUGGCUUAAACAUUAAAAUAUUCCAGAAUGUUGAUAACUACUCUAGCCACUAUGAUUACUAGUUUUAGGUUGGGGUGACCACGGAGCAAAAAUUAACCUCCAUGUUGAACGGAGCUACUCCUGAACCAAAAGCCACGACUUUAAGCACUAAUAAAUUAACAUUAAUUGACCCAAUAUUUUUGAUCAACGAACCAAGUUACCCUAGGGAUAACAGCGCA
This 456-nucleotide ribosomal RNA is filed under the name Dendropsophus aff. minutus. RNAcentral describes it as "partial 16S ribosomal RNA". It matches the Rfam family "Bacterial large subunit ribosomal RNA", at positions 1832 to 2484 of the family's 2925-position model. The record is from RNAcentral. Lineage: Eukaryota; Metazoa; Chordata; Amphibia; Anura; Hylidae.